GGGUUGCAAUGACUAGGUUCACCAACAUUUUCAUACUAAGAUUGAGAAGGAGAUAGAAACCCCUCAGAGAUAACAAUCAAAGGGAUUUUCCUUUCUUUUUUCGUCCUUACAUGUAUCGUUCAUAACAGUCACAAUUUUAGGACCAGAUGGGGGUUUCACCAUAUGUCUUGGCACAAGGCCCAUCAUACCCGAAUUUGACCAUCGAGUCAUAUUCUUGAGCCAAGGCCCAAUAGUAUGACCCUCUCCACCAUUAUCAAAGGAAAGGUAAAGGGUCAAUCU
Molecule: long non-coding RNA, 279 nt
Filed under: Carica papaya (papaya)
Lineage: Eukaryota; Viridiplantae; Streptophyta; Magnoliopsida; Brassicales; Caricaceae
Description: long non-coding RNA (CPAP_LNC004989)
Source: RNAcentral